This 817-nucleotide long non-coding RNA is filed under the name Anser cygnoides (Swan goose). Its description in RNAcentral is "lncRNA (ENSACDG00005003288.1)". Lineage: Eukaryota; Metazoa; Chordata; Aves; Anseriformes; Anatidae. The record is from RNAcentral.
AUGCCCCUCUCUCUCCCCGGCCCCGAGCGUGAUUCCUGCUGUAAAAUUCCCUCCCUGGCUUUAGCACUCGAACACCCUGGAGAAGCGGCAGGUGCCCCUGGUCACCUGUUGCUGCGAGGUUCCUGUCCUCUGACCAGGGUGUGCUAUUAUUUUAUUGUAUUGUAUUUUAUUUUUAUUUUUCAUACGGCGCUUGCUGCAAAUGCCCCAUUGCUCUCCGAAAGCGAUUUAUCCCUGGACGACGGGGAUUUUGCUCCCGAGCGCAGCAAAAGGCGCGGGCGGAGGCAGAGGCUGCUCGGGGAGGCUGCGGCGCUCGGCUCGCUGGGCUGCCGGGGCAACAGCAGCGGCCAGCCUGCAGCUGCCCCGCGCACGGGCACGGGGAAUUGCCAGGAUUUUCUCGGACAGGCAUUUCCAAAGAAAAGAGCGCUCUCUGUGUGUCUCUCUCUCACUGGCGCACACACCAAACCGCUCGGAUGCUUCACGACCGGCCACUUUGCGAGGGGAACAACACGGGAGGGUUUGUAUUACUCCAGCCCAGGUUUCAGGCAGGUUGGAUGCUUGCCCCACACGCCAACCCCUAAGCAGAGAGACUGGAGUAUGCUACCGUGGAGUUAAAGUCUAACUCCUCUGCAGCACGGUGAGGUUCCAGAAUCACUCUCCUUGCAGUCAUAAAGCUAGGAAGUGCAAUGACCAGGCAUGUGGUCCUGACCUCAGACUGAGGAUCCUUGGCCUAGAGUCAAGCAGUUGCUGCAGUCACCGAAACAGCCAAAUUCACUGUCUGCUUAGCCAUGGAUUAAAAUUCAUCCACUGAUCCAAGACA